This 404-nucleotide ribosomal RNA is filed under the name Actinomycetes bacterium. Its description in RNAcentral is "Actinobacteria bacterium partial 16S ribosomal RNA". It matches the Rfam family "Bacterial small subunit ribosomal RNA", at positions 355 to 776 of the family's 1533-position model. Lineage: Bacteria; Bacillati; Actinomycetota; Actinomycetes. The record is from RNAcentral.
UGGGGAAUAUUGGACAAUGGGCGCAAGCCUGAUCCAGCCAUGCCGCGUGAGUGAUGAAGGCCCUAGGGUUGUAAAGCUCUUUCACCGGUGAAGAUAAUGACGGUAACCGGAGAAGAAGCCCCGGCUAACUUCGUGCCAGCAGCAGCGGUAAUACGAAGGGGGCUAGCGUUGUUCGGAUUUACUGGGCGUAAAGCGCACGUAGGCGGACUAUUAAGUCAGGGGUGAAAUCCCGGGGCUCAACCCCGGAACUGCCUUUGAUACUGGUAGUCUUGAGUUCGAGAGAGGUGAGUGGAAUUCCGAGUGUAGAGGUGAAAUUCGUAGAUAUUCGGAGGAACACCAGUGGCGAAGGCGGCUCACUGGCUCGAUACUGACGCUGAGGUGCGAAAGCGUGGGGAGCAAACAGG